This 3367-nucleotide long non-coding RNA is filed under the name Linum usitatissimum (flax). RNAcentral describes it as "long non-coding RNA (LUSI_LNC002619)". Lineage: Eukaryota; Viridiplantae; Streptophyta; Magnoliopsida; Malpighiales; Linaceae. The record is from RNAcentral.
CAUUGAAAACCUUAGUAUAGGUUUGUGUAGCUUAGACUCGUAAAAGCAGCUCCUUUAUAACAAUUAAGAGUAGAUUGAGCAAGAUAUAAAAAAAAUUACAAAAUGAGAAAUUAAUGUUACAGGAUCCAAUAGAAAUUAAGAAUAAAAACCUCAAAUUAACACGUAAUAUAAUGUAAUUACAGUCGUAAUAGGUGCCAAUUUGAGGUUAGAGUAUCCACGGGAACAUUCUCAAAUAGAAUGUGAAGAAAAGAAAACAAAAAAUGGGCUGAGAAUUGAGGUUUGUGUCCAUUGUGUUUGAUCGUGUUAAGGGUACGUAAGUGGGUUGGCUUUUGUAGUUGCCUCCAAAGUUCACAUGGUGGGUUAGGGAUGGCAGUAGGCGGGAUUUCAAAUGAGGUGCGAUUUAGAAUCACUCAGAUGGGCAGUUUGUUUGGACGCGAGAUAACAUGAAAGUGCAUGUGACUGACCGAGUAUUCAUUAUUGUGACACUCAUCUGGGCUCUUGCGGCCCCUCCAGUGCUCAACUCCCCCCAUCAACAACUCUUCUCUCCACAGCGCCUUGCUUUGCUUCUACGUCUGUACUUCCCUGCAUUUCAAAUAGUGAAUCAAGAAGAAGAUGAAUUAGGAACCCGUACAAAUGUUCAACUCCAAGUACCCGAUUUAGUUCGUCUGCAUAUCUGUCGUAUCAAUGUAUGUCACAAAAAUCCUUUACGUACAGAACUGUCACAUGAUCCGAUAGUCACUUUCAUGUAAAUGUUUUGGACGAUCACUCCGACUAUCAACCCAUUACAUUGUUGUAUAUACAUGGCAGAGGACACUGACGUACGUCCUAUCCCAGGUGUGCUUGCUUACCAAAUUUGUUGUUACCUUGGAUAGUAUUAAGUAGAUUAAUGUGGCAUUGAGGGACAUUACUAAAUGGAUACCAGGCAAAGAAAAGGGCAAAUAUAGAAAGGAACUUAAAAAUCAAUCUGCCAUGAUUAGCACCGGAUUUUUCCAGGCUGCUUCAGUGCCUUGAGCCCUUCACGCAGUACGCAUAUACAGUUAUGUAAAGUCAACAUCAUCGUAGCUGGAAAUAGGUUAAUAUUUUGAAUAUGAACUUAUAAGGAAAGACUAAUGAAUCCAUUUUCUUAUAGAACUUAGAAUCGGAUGAGCAUAUCCUUGUCAUUAAAUGCCUUAACAAGUCAAAGGGUAUCAUUUGGGUUUUGCAAAAAGAAAGACACAAUAGGUCACGAGAAUGAUUAGAUUAUUCAAACUUAUAAAAAAAAAAGGAACUAUCAGAGGAAUUAAUUUGAACGAUGUAUCAUUGGACAAGAAUUGGGGAGAGCAUGUUCAGACCGCAGACUGGGAGGUGAGUGGUUAUUUAUUUUUAUCUGUGACAGUUGUGACAAAUAGUAAAAAUAAUAAUGAAACAACAGGUGGUGUGGAGGAAUCACAUGAUGAUAAUGAUAAAUCUAAGGUCCACACGGUAUAUUAGUUAGUUAAACACCCUUUUAAAACGAAAAUAAAAGGGGCAAUAAGACAGAUGGUCAACAAGAUUUGAGAUUGCAACUUGCAAGAGAUGUCAAACUUAGCCAGCCAGGAGCUCAAAUUUGCAGGGAAUGGAUUGUGUAAGCAUUUCUGGAAAUCAGUUAGAUACCUCAGGGAACAAGAAAACACUCAUUGCGUAUUAGAUGGACCUAGGCUAAGCGAAGUUCUAAUCUGCAGUUCAGGUUGAAGAUGAGUACAAAUGUGUACAGAGAUGUCGACUUUGGUUUCGGAUUAAACCGGAAAUGAACAAACAAGAACAAAAUGACAUGACACCCACGAGAUAUUCUGCUUCCACAUUAAAUGAAUAAUAACGUGUGUACAGUCAAUAUCAAACUACACAUGCCAGCCAGACAAUUGCAAGUCGAUAUUUGAGCAUUUAUUUACUAUUGUUUCCUUACCUGUUGUAUCCGAGUCGCAGUUCAGAAUUCACUCCAAAUAUAACUUUCCAGCCUUUCCAGUUUCCAUCUUGAUAGUCAUUUAUCUGGAAAAAGACAGGAAAGCUGUCACAACGGUAAAGCACAAGUGUCAACAAACCUUGCAAUACAAGCAUAAUGAAUCAGGAAUUCUGUGAUCUGUUUCACAACAAUAAUACCAAAUUUCUUCCCUGUCCCUCCCUUGUACGCAUCAUCAAGGUUAACUAAGAUCCAUCAUCAUAUCAGACCCAAAAAAAACUGCAAUGUUCAUCACAUCAUGGAAAGUAAUAAUAGAGAUCAAUUUUCUGGCGUCAAUCAAGGUGAGAUUAGAAAAAUAUAACGACUAAUGAUGUAAGACCCCCACACCCGUAACUAGUGGGGAUGCCGUGUCAACUCCUUUCCCUUGUGCCAGUUUUCACUUUUCCUGAUGGCUGGCAGAUAAUGUGUUGGAUACAACAGGGGUAACUGGCUUGGAUUUAGCUAACUCCAAAGCCAAAAUAUCUACUGUGUUUCCGGACCUCAUUCCUGCAUUGGCCAAACAAAUCAAAAGUUGAACACUUGAACUGAAAGAAAACGAACAUGAAGUAUCAAACGAACAUGAUGACUUGUGUAGAGCCAACUGCCAGGCAGAAGGCUACUGUUCAAUUCACUCACCAUUGCUCUCCGGAUCAGCAUUCAGGUGUUCACUCAAGAUAAUCUUCUGCCCUUUCUUUUAUCUAUCUGUAAUAAAAGAAAUUACAAACAAACCGCCCAAUACAAGAAUAUGAGACUGAGAAAAAAAACGAUCUGUGUCCAAAUUUUAGGCUCAUGCUAUCACUUUUGGGUUUUUUAUUUGCAAGUAUUCAACUGCUCCAUCCAUUUGUCUUCUGAAACUCAAUACAGAACAACUCCAUGAGGAUAACACUGCAAAUAAAUAUCGACAUUGACCAAAAACUUGCCUACUUGUCUUCAGAGAAAGAUGCUGUUUAAAGGUAAACAAGUCAAUAACAAAGAGACGACACUACGCAAUGUACACGUUAUAGCCAAGUACUCAUAUAACCGUCAAUUUGAAAAUGACAAAUCGGAUUAAUAGUUUAAUAUACCUUCCAUAGGAUAGUUGCAACAAUUCUUCUCUUCCACAGAUAAUCUGAACCUGAAAAGCCAAUCAAAUCUGCAAUCAAAUCUUCCACAGAGUAGAAUGUUGGGGAAUAUUUCACCUGGAAUGUAGCUCAUCCGUUACGCGGUUUUUUCGUGAAUAGAAUCAGACUCAACGAUCUGCAACUUUCACCUACUCAAGUGGGCGAUGAAUGACAGUGCUAUCUAUGAAAGCCCCAACCUUGGAAACCGGCAGCUGCGACGGAAGGGCAGAGGCUGUUAUCCAUUGCAACGUGAGAAACGGUGAAUUCAAGAGGAAACCCUGAACGACGCCGUUAGGUAUUAUUUAAAGCCCAA